RNAcentral lists this ribosomal RNA (255 nucleotides) under uncultured bacterium. RNAcentral describes it as "partial 16S ribosomal RNA". It matches the Rfam family "Bacterial small subunit ribosomal RNA", at positions 524 to 776 of the family's 1533-position model. The record is from RNAcentral.
GACGUAGGGGGCCAGCGUUGUUCGGAAUUACUGGGUGUAAAGGGUUCGUAGGCGGUGUGGCAAGUCGGGAGUGAAAUCUCUGGGCUCAACCCAGAGUCUGCUUCCGAAACUGCUGUGCUUGAGUGUGGGAGAGGCGCGUGGAAUUGCAGGUGUAGCGGUGAAAUGCGUAGAUAUCUGGAGGAACACCAAUGGCGAAGGCAGCACUCUGGGACGGUACUGACGCUGAGACGCGAAAAGCGUGGGGGAGCAAACAGG